This 497-nucleotide ribosomal RNA is filed under the name uncultured bacterium. RNAcentral's name for it is "partial 16S ribosomal RNA". It matches the Rfam family "Bacterial small subunit ribosomal RNA", at positions 28 to 507 of the family's 1533-position model. The record is from RNAcentral.
GAUGAACGCUGGCGGCGUGCCUAAUACAUGCAAGUCGAGCGAACAGACGAGGAGCUUGCUCCUCUGACGUUAGCGGCGGACGGGUGAGUCACACGUGGAUAACCUACCUAUAAGACUGGGAUAACUUCGGGAAACCGGAGCUAAUACCGGAUAAUAUAUUGAACCGCAUGGUUCAAUAGUGAAAGACGGUUUUGCUGUCACUUAUAGAUGGAUCCGCGCCGCAUUAGCUAGUUGGUAAGGUAACGGCUUACCAAGGCAACCAUGCGUAGCCGACCUGAGAGGGUGAUCGGCCACACUGGAACUGAGACACGGUCCAGACUCCUACGGGAGGCAGCAGUAGGGAAUCUUCCGCAAUGGGCGAAAGCUUGACGGAGCAACGCCGCGUGAGUGAUGAAGGUCUUCGGAUCGUAAAACUCUGUUAUGAGGGAAGAACAAAUGUGUAAGUAACUAUGCACGUCUUGACGGUACCUAAUCAGAAAGCCACGGCUAACUACGUG